UAACACGGGGGGAGCAAGCGUUGUUCGGAAUCACUGGGCGUAAAGGGCGUGUAGGCGGUCAAGUAAGUGGGAUGUGAAAUGCCCCGGCUCACCCGGGGACCGGCAUCUCAAACUGCUGGGCUAGAGUACGGGAGAGGAUGAGGGAAUUCCUGGUGUAGCGGUGAAAUGCGUAGAUAUCAGGAGGAACACCGGUGGCGAAAGCGCUCAUCUGGCCCGAUACUGACGCUGAGGCGCGAAAGCUAGGGGAGCAAACGG
This 255-nucleotide ribosomal RNA is filed under the name uncultured prokaryote. Its description in RNAcentral is "partial 16S ribosomal RNA". It matches the Rfam family "Bacterial small subunit ribosomal RNA", at positions 521 to 775 of the family's 1533-position model. The record is from RNAcentral.